Molecule: ribosomal RNA, 468 nt
Filed under: uncultured bacterium
Lineage: Bacteria
Description: partial 16S ribosomal RNA
Rfam family: Bacterial small subunit ribosomal RNA
Source: RNAcentral
GACGAACGCUGGCGGCGUGCUUAACACAUGCAAGUCGAACGGAAAGGCCCUGCUUUUGUGGGGUGCUCGAGUGGCGAACGGGUGAGUAACACGUGAGUAACCUGCCCUUGACUUUGGGAUAACUUCAGGAAACUGGGGCUAAUACCGGAUAGGAGCUCCUGCUGCAUGGUGGGGGUUGGAAAGUUUCGGCGGUUGGGGAUGGACUCGCGGCUUAUCAGCUUGUUGGUGGGGUAGUGGCUUACCAAGGCUUUGACGGGUAGCCGGCCUGAGAGGGUGACCGGCCCCAUUGGGACUGGGAUGCGGCCCGGACUCCUACGGGAGGCAGCAGUGGGGAAUAUUGCACAAUGGUCGGAACCCUGAUGCGGCAACGCCGCGUGCGGGAUGACGGCCUUCGGGUUGUAAACCGCUUUCGCCUGUGACGAAGCGUGAGUGACGGUAAUGGGUAAAGAAGCACCGGCUAACUACGUG